GAUCCUGGCUCAGGAUGAACGCUGGCGGCGCGCCUAACACAUGCAAGUCGAACGGCACCCCCUCUCCGGAGGGAAGCGAGUGGCGAACGGCUGAGUAACACGUGGAGAACCUGCCCCCUCCCCCGGGAUAGCCGCCCGAAAGGACGGGUAAUACCGGAUACCCCGGGGUGCCGCGUGGCACCCCGGCUAAAGCCCCGACGGGAGGGGAUGGCUCCGCGGCCCAUCAGGUAGACGGCGGGGUGACGGCCCACCGUGCCGACAACGGGUAGCCGGGGUUUGAGAGACCCGG
RNAcentral lists this ribosomal RNA (289 nucleotides) under uncultured bacterium. Its description in RNAcentral is "partial 16S ribosomal RNA". It matches the Rfam family "Bacterial small subunit ribosomal RNA", at positions 15 to 307 of the family's 1533-position model. The record is from RNAcentral.